GGGUUGUGAGGUUAAGCGACUAAGCGUACACGGUGGAUGCCCUGGCAGUCAGAGGCGAUGAAGGGCGUGCUAAUCUGCGAUAAGCGCCGGUAAGGUGAUAUGAACCGUUAUAACCGGCGAUACCCGAAUGGGGAAACCCAGUGUGAUUCGUCACACUAUCAUUAACUGAAUCCAUAGGUUAAUGAGGCGAACCGGGGGAACUGAAACAUCUAAGUACCCCGAGGAAAAGAAAUCAACCGAGAUUCCCCCAGUAGCGGCGAGCGAACGGGGAGGAGCCCAGAGCCUGAAUCAGCAUGUGUGUUAGUGGAAGCGUCUGGAAAGGCGCGCGAUACAGGGUGACAGCCCCGUACACAAAAGCGCAUGUGCUGUGAGCUCGAUGAGUAGGGCGGGACACGUGGUAUCCUGUCUGAAUAUGGGGGGACCAUCCUCCAAGGCUAAAUACUCCUGACUGACCGAUAGUGAACCAGUACCGUGAGGGAAAGGCGAAAAGAACCCCGGCGAGGGGAGUGAAAAAGAACCUGAAACCGUGUACGUACAAGCAGUGGGAGCACAGGUUUACCUGUGUGACUGCGUACCUUUUGUAUAAUGGGUCAGCGACUUAUAUUCUGUAGCAAGGUUAACCGUAUAGGGGAGCCGAAGGGAAACCGAGUCUUAACCGGGCGUUAAGUU
RNAcentral lists this ribosomal RNA (669 nucleotides) under Salmonella enterica. Its description in RNAcentral is "partial 23S ribosomal RNA". It matches the Rfam family "Bacterial large subunit ribosomal RNA", at positions 1 to 701 of the family's 2925-position model. The record is from RNAcentral. Lineage: Bacteria; Pseudomonadati; Pseudomonadota; Gammaproteobacteria; Enterobacterales; Enterobacteriaceae. RNAcentral also lists the same sequence under 1 other name.